RNAcentral lists this ribosomal RNA (181 nucleotides) under uncultured bacterium. RNAcentral's name for it is "partial 16S ribosomal RNA". It matches the Rfam family "Bacterial small subunit ribosomal RNA", at positions 521 to 701 of the family's 1533-position model. The record is from RNAcentral.
UAAUACGUAGGGUGCGAGCGUUGUCCGGAAUUAUUGGGCGUAAAGGGCUCGUAGGCGGUUUGUCGCGUCGGGAGUGAAAACCUUGGGCUUAACUCAGGGCUUGCUUUCGAUACGGGCAGACUAGAGGUAUGCAGGGGAGAACGGAAUUCCUGGUGUAGCGGUGAAAUGCGCAGAUAUCAGG